Molecule: transfer RNA, 67 nt
Filed under: Perittopus sp. HL-2012
Lineage: Eukaryota; Metazoa; Arthropoda; Insecta; Hemiptera; Veliidae
Description: tRNA-Phe
Source: RNAcentral
AUCUGAAUAGCUUAAAAUUUAAAGCAUAAUAUUGAAGAUAUUAAGAUAAAUGUAUGUUUUUUAGAUA